RNAcentral lists this ribosomal RNA (253 nucleotides) under uncultured bacterium. RNAcentral's name for it is "partial 16S ribosomal RNA". It matches the Rfam family "Bacterial small subunit ribosomal RNA", at positions 524 to 776 of the family's 1533-position model. The record is from RNAcentral.
UACGUAGGGGGCAAGCGUUGUCCGGAAUCAUUGGGCGUAAAGAGCGUGUAGGCGGUCCGUUAAGUCGGCUGUGAAAGUCCAGGGCUCAACCCUGGGAUGCCGGCCGAUACUGGCGGACUAGAGUCCGGAAGAGGUGAGUGGAAUUCCCGGUGUAGCGGUGAAAUGCGCAGAUAUCGGGAGGAACACCCGUGGCGAAAGCGGCUCUCUGGAACGGUACUGACGCUGAGACGCGAAAGCGUGGGGAGCGAACAGG